GAUAUGGCUCAGGAUGAACGCUAGCUACAGGCUUAACACAUGCAAGUCGAGGGGCAGCAUGGACCCAGCUUUGCUGGGUUUGAUGGCGACCGGCGCACGGGUGAGUAACGCGUAUCCAACCUGCCCUUUACUCCGGGAUAGUCUCCUGAAAGGGAGUUUAAUACCGGAUGUGUUUGUCUUUCCGCAUGGGAGCGACAAAUAAAGAUUGAUUGGUAAAGGAUGGGGAUGCGUCCCAUUAGCUUGUUGGG
RNAcentral lists this ribosomal RNA (248 nucleotides) under uncultured bacterium. RNAcentral's name for it is "partial 16S ribosomal RNA". It matches the Rfam family "Bacterial small subunit ribosomal RNA", at positions 15 to 253 of the family's 1533-position model. The record is from RNAcentral.